This 465-nucleotide ribosomal RNA is filed under the name uncultured bacterium. Its description in RNAcentral is "partial 16S ribosomal RNA". It matches the Rfam family "Bacterial small subunit ribosomal RNA", at positions 28 to 506 of the family's 1533-position model. The record is from RNAcentral.
GACGAACGCUGGCGGCGUGCUUAACACAUGCAAGUCGAACGGUAAGGCUCCAGCUUGCUGGGGUACACGGGUGGCGAACGGGUGAGUAACACGUGGGUGACCUGCCCUGCACUUCGGGAUAAGCCUGGGAAACUGGGUCUAAUACCGGAUAGGACCAUGGUGUGGAUACUGUGGUGGAAAGUUUUUUCGGUGUGGGAUGGGCCCGCGGCCUAUCAGCUUGUUGGUGGGGUAAUGGCCUACCAAGGCGGCGACGGGUAGCCGGCCUGAGAGGGUGGACGGCCACAUUGGGACUGAGACACGGCCCAGACUCCUACGGGAGGCAGCAGUGGGGAUUAUUGCACAAUGGGCGGAAGCCUGAUGCAGCGACGCCGCGUGGGGGAUGACGGCCUUCGGGUUGUAAACUCCUUUCACCAUCGACGAAGGGUUUCUGACGGUAGAUGGAGAAGAAGCACCGGCUAACUACGU